CGUUGAUAGAUUCCCCACUUCUGUUUCUGGUCUAUUAUUUAAGCCAUCUUACUUUAUUGAACCACGGAAUAAAUGUGAAAUUAAGUUACGCGUCUGCAGUCAGUUUAAGGGUUUGUUGGAAGCCAUCUUGGAGGUUCAAAUGUCAGACCUCACCAAGGGUUCAGGAACGUCUGUAGCUGCUUCACAAGUCUCCGUUCAAACACUUAUCGUUUGUGCCAAGAUUAAUGAACCAGAUGUACAGUUGACAUGUGAUGGAGAAGAUUUAUUAGACUUUGGUGUGGUGCCAGAAGGCUGUAUAAUCUGGAAGUGACUCUCAUCAACCACUCUCCACAGACUCUCCCAGUCAUUUUAAAUUUGCAGCAGGUAGCAGUAACGUCUCCCAUCUUUUAUUGGAAUUCCAAUAAAAAUGAAUUUGCAAAGCUCAUCUCACCCACCCACUUGGCCCUUGAACUGCCUGCUGCCUGUAGGAUUCUGGUCCAGUCCCACAAACACUGACUGUCACCCUUAAGGCUCCUCACCUUGGUAAUGUUAAAGUGAGUGAAAGUGGUGUGGUGGGAGUGAAGAGCCACCUGCAGGUAGAACUUGAUACACCUGAUAAUUCAACAAUGAUUAUUGCAGCUUUUCCAGUUAAGGCACACAUUGGAGCAGUACGUUUAGAGGCUCUACGACCAUUGAAUCUUUUGGUGUAGAAACAAUGUCAGAUGACUCGCAC
This is a long non-coding RNA of Homarus americanus (American lobster), 712 nucleotides long. RefSeq lists it as uncharacterized. The record is from RefSeq and is a predicted model, not a curated record. Lineage: Eukaryota; Metazoa; Arthropoda; Malacostraca; Decapoda; Nephropidae. The transcript is spliced from 5 exons.